Molecule: long non-coding RNA, 2257 nt
Filed under: Lupinus mutabilis
Lineage: Eukaryota; Viridiplantae; Streptophyta; Magnoliopsida; Fabales; Fabaceae
Description: partial ncRNA
Source: RNAcentral
CACACCCUUUCCAUUCCUCACUUCCUAUCUCACUCACCGCCGCGGAGUCGCCUCAUCCCGUCACCGCCGUGAGAGCAAUUGAUUUGUGAGUCCAAAUUUCAAUACUAAUUACUAAUUUGGAAGCUAUCUCUUCUCAAUUACUUUUCACACUAACUCAAUUCCAUGCCUUUUCCCCUUUUUAAUCACGGAUUCUUCAUACUCAUUUACUUUUACAACGUUUCAUUAUACUCUUAAAUUCUCAUAUAACAAACAUGCUCUAAUAUAUAUGCUCGAAUUUCGUCGCGUUUCUGAACUACUCCAAAAAUGUGUUUAAAGGAUCGCCGCCAUUGCACUGUGAACUUUUAUGCGAUUAAAAAAAUAUAUUUGAAUUCGAUGUGAUUGCAUUACGGUCUGAUAUGGUCACAUCAUUGUGACGCAGUGUCAGACAGUAAUUGCAACUGCUAUGUUGUGGCUGCAUCGCUUGAUGUUGUCCACAAUUUGAAUCACCGCUCCUACUAGCUAAUUCUAUGUCAACAGUUUAGUUUCCUAAUUAUGACACAAGAAACAUCGUGUCCAAAGGCUUUUGGAUUUGAAUCGAUGAUGUAUAGAGUUUAAUAGAGGGUGAGCAUGGUGCAAUAAUAAGGUUGUUGCUUAGUGACCACUCGUGAAGGAAUGGCUACAUACAUGUACCUACCCCAGACCUUACUAAGUGGGAGCCUCGUGCACUGGGCUGCCUUUUUAUGUAUAGAGUUAAACAACCAAGUGAAAUCAUGCAGGUUUACAUACAUUGAAUAGGUUCUGAUUGAUUAGCAAACAUUUGUGUCUCAAAUGACAAUCCUGUCUGCAUUGCCAGCAAAAUAUUCAGGUUUCAUUUAUCAAGAUACACCUUAUCUACCAUCGAAGUUUCCAGCGAGAGUUGAUUAUCGCAGAUAUGUUUCUCUAUCUCCGACUACGACUUGUCGAAUGAAGAUAAAACGAGAGUACGCUGACCGCAUUCCCGUCAAAAUUUUCACUUCCGCCGCAAGAAAUGGUCAAUAUCUAAGCUCUGAUGAUGGUUUACCUCAAGAGCCCUUUUUGCUAGCAUUGAUCAAGGAGGCCAUAUGGGGGAUACGAUCCUUAUUUGUAUUUUUGGCUGCACAACCUAGCCAGCUGAAGUACAUUGAGUGGCCAACCUUUAGUAAUACGCUUAGGACUGCGAUUCUGACUCUUGUUCUUGUUGCACUGCUUAUCGUGGCAUUGGCAUCCGUCGAUUCAGUUCUCUGCUAUGUUUUGGCUCUACUUCUUCGGAAAAGCCCGUGAGCGAUACCACGUGUUACUUGUACUAUGUAACCAGUAUGUUGCCUGUUAUUAUUGUGACAAUUUAGAGAGUCAUUUAUAUUUUUCAUGUUGCCUAUAUAAAUUAUUAUCAACAUAAUGUAUUUUUUUUGGUACAAGGAGGGGUUGAAGCACAAACAACAAAUGGAGAAAGAUUACCAAUUUCCAAAUUUAUUUAGAAGUUAUUCUGAUACUUUGCAUAAUGUAAGUAGCCCUAAUACAUAUAAUUACAGAUGGAAACUAAAAACUGUGAAUGGCUGUUGAUGCUCAUCCAAUGAAUCAUUGGACUCAGUAUGGGUCCAAGCAUGCAUGUUUAAGAUUUCGAGUCAAAUCAUUAGCUGCAUGUUCUUAGAAAUUGUUCUUUUUAACCUAGCAGUGGGUCGAAGCAUGCAUGUUUAACAUUUCGAGUUGUGGUAAACGGGUCACGGUUCACAUUGGUUUAGCAGGGUUUGUACUGGUUCCCGACAGUUUUGAAGCAGAAAUGGUUUGAUCGACCAACCAGGUCAGUCAAGGGUUUGUUUCACCGAUUUGUUGGUUGAACCAUUCAGUAGUCCAAUUUUAAUAACUAUGAUUUACUUGUGAAUCACUUUGGUGAUGUAGAUGGGGCCAUAUUGUAAAACACUAACACUCUUAAGGCAAAUUAAUUCCUAUUUCUUAAUCAGCACUUGAAGAAGUUGCUUAUAGAAUAUCAAGUUUGGUGAGUAUAGAAACUUUCCCUCUCUCUCUCUUUUGAAUCUUGAAUCUUGUUUAUGAAUCAAUUGAAAAGUGAUACAGUGGUGCUGUGAUAUCAUCCUAUUAUUAAAACACAAGCAAAAAUGGGAGAAAAUGCUACUCUUUUCACAAGGUAUUCUCCAAGACAGUAAAUACAUUUAUGUUGGAACAAUAUUUUGUAGUCUUACAGCUUUACAUAAAUAAAAACACACAAAAAAACCAACUAAUACAUUUGACGCCUACAAAAAAAUUG